UUUAAGAAUUCAUUUCUUAUCGAGACAGAUAACGUAAGGAAAAUUUCAUUUCAAGGAGUUUUCUAUCUCGAAGAACGAACAACUAUCUCAGCCAAAGUAUUUUCGCGAGUAGGAAUUGUAAAUAACGAGAGUAGUAAGCUCGGAGAUAGCGAGUAAAACCACUAGCGAUAUCGAGCGAAUCCGAAAAAUUGUGUCAGUUAAGAAGUAAGUGAGUUUCGAGACUCGACGAAAGAUACAGUUUCCGGAUACUCCGGAAGUAAUGGUGUUUUCUCGAAUCUGCUGAUAUUCGACUUAACAACGGCCAACAACCUCGUAUUUCCCUUGGCAUCGCUUAGUUUUCGUGGGGUAUCGCAUUGGGUUGUCGUCGAUUUAUGCGAUCUCUCAAUUCUCGGAAGUUGGAAAGCGGAAGCGCGUGUACACGUAUAAAAUACGAACUAAGACGAAGAAACAGAGAGAGAGAGAGAGAGAGAGAGAGAGAGAGAGAGAGAGAGAGAGAGAGAAAGAGAGAGAGAAAGAGAAAGAUGGAAGAGUAUUAACAAACGUGAACGACCUACUUACGGAACUUCGUGCGACCAUAAAUCAGUUUACUUUUGGAUUACUUAUCGAUACGGGACAACAAAAAGGACAUACAUGCGUCGGUCGACGAGGGAAAAACAAUAAGAAAGAAAGAAAGAAAGAAGGAGAAAAGAAAAAGAAAAUUUAUCAAAUACGUAAAAUAGAAUAGAAUACUAUUUACGAAAAUAAAAACGAUCAAAUGAAAGGAUCUUGUUUGUUCGUGAAUUCGUGGAUCAUAUAUGAAUGGAAUGGGAUUUAUUAAAGUACGCCGCUUAUUCGAGAACCAUCUUGUCGGUGAUGAUCGUGUGUUCGGUCAAAGGCAUCGCACGAAAUGAAGCUCUCUGUAUGCCACGUCGUCAUUAUUGCAAACCGCAGGAGAUUGGAGGAUGCGAUUUUCGAGUCACGUUUAGGAAGAAGACGGUCAGCGGCCUUUCUCGGUUCAGGACUUCUCAAGAGUAAAAAUGGCCAGAUGCAUCUCAACGUAAUCAAAUAACUUCCAGAUAUUUGAAAAGACUUGACAACUAAGGAAGAUGGUGAAAAUAAAGAAGAAGACAGAGAAGUUACGCAAAAGGAAGAAAACAUAGAGAACCAUAACACGGAGAUUUUGCCACAAAGCUGUAUACCAGAUGAAUAGAAGGAUAUACAUCGUAGAAGAUCGAAAAAUUGCGCAAACAAAAAUUAAAUUUACGAAGAUGUAAUGAUAUCAAUUAUAGAUAAACAUACUGUACAAUAUUAAUAAUGAUCUGUUAUUUUUUAUAAAGUUGUUAAUAUUAUAAGUAAGCGAA
This is an RNA transcript of Vespula pensylvanica (western yellowjacket), 1340 nucleotides long. RefSeq lists it as uncharacterized. The record is from RefSeq and is a predicted model, not a curated record. The transcript is spliced from 4 exons. NCBI's taxonomy places the organism in Eukaryota, Metazoa, Arthropoda, Insecta, Hymenoptera, Vespidae.